AUGGCGCGCUCGAGCUCCGUCACCGAGGCCGAGGUCGGCAUCUCCUGCUUCACCUCCGCCCUCCCGGGCUUCCGCGGCGUCCUCAAGCACCGCUACUCCGACUUCAUCGUCCACGAGGUCGCCCGCGACGGCUCCGUCGUGCGCCUCACCUCCCUCGAUCUCCCCGACCAGUGCGUGGAUGCCAAGGAGGAGGAGAAGGCGGCGCCGGCGGCCGACGCCGACCACUCCAAGGCCCUCGAGUUGUUCGGCGAGCUCUGCGGUGAGGCGGACUGCCAUGCGCUGAGGGGGCUUCUCGAGAAGGUCGCGGCCGGCGGCGAGGGUGAUUUCUCGCCGGUUAUGCUCUCGCCGGAUGCUGACAAGGCCCAUCGAUCGGAGGUGCACAACUUUUUCAAGAAAAACUUCAAGUUCUUGGUCACAGACACAGUGGAACACAGCGAUGGGGUUCAGAAAUACAUCAGGGUACGCGUGGGCUCUGAAGCUGGAGGAGGGCGGGGCCGUGGCGGGCGGGGCGGUGGUGGGAGGGGUGGUGGCGGCAGAGGAAGGAAGAGGAAGAACAUGAAUGGUUCUGAUUGGGGAGACGACAGGCCAUUUGACAGUAGAGGGUCGUCUAGUUGGCCAGCUAAUGCUGGGAAGUUCCUGAGGUUUCACCUUUGCAAAGAAAACAAGGACACCCAAGAUGCAUUGGGGGUAAUAGGAAAAAUGUUAGGACUACAGUCACGCUCAUUUGGGUUUUCUGGAACAAAGGAUAAACGUGCCGUUACGACGCAACAGGUUACCGUUUUCAAGGUACCAGCAAAUAAAAUUGCUGCACUUAAUAAGCGACUAUAUGGCAUCAAAGUUGGAAACUUCUGUUAUGUAAAGGAGGGACUUGGUCUUGGUCAGCUCAUGGGAAAUCGGUUUACCAUUACCCUGAGAGGCGUUGUUGCAGAAUCGGAAGACAUGAUAAAGGCUGCUGUGGAUGGCUUAGGAAAGAACGGCUUUAUCAACUAUUAUGGUUUGCAGCGCUUUGGAAGUGGUUCAGUACCAACCCACCGUAUUGGAGCUGCUUUGCUUAGAGGAGAAUGGAAAAAUGCUGUAAACUUGGUUCUUGAUCCAAGGGAAGGAGAGCGUGAUGACAUAAAGGAGGUGCGUGAACAUUACAAGCAACAUGGUGAUAUUGAUAUGGCUCUGAGGAACUUCCCUCGCCAUCUUGUGGCUGAGAAGGCUAUUCUUCAGUGUUUGAGGAAAUGCCCUGAUAACUAUCUACAAGCAUUAAAGGGUAUACCAAGACCGUUAAGAAUGAUGUAUGUCCAUUCUUACCAAAGUUACCUUUGGAAUCAUGCUGCCAGCAUGAGAGUUGAAAAGUAUGGCAUUUCACAGGUCGUAGAAGGUGAUCUAAUCUAUACCAAAGAAAGCCAUCCUGGAGAAGCAACUUCUGUGGGUACUUCAGAAGUUGAUGGCCUUACAAAUUCUUCUGAAAUUGAUAUUUGUCCUGAAGCAAUUCCAGAAGAAAAUAUCCAGUCUGUGAAGCUAGUUGAUUCUGAAGAUUUAUCGAAAGGGAUCUACUCGUUUGAAGAUGUCGUCCUUCCUUUGCCUGGUUCACAAGCAUUGUUCCCUGGGAAUGAAGUUGCUGAGAUUUACCAUGAAAUGGCUAAAAAGGAUGGCAUUAGCUUGACAGAGAAUGCUCAUGGUGUGAAGGAGUUCUCAAUUACAAGCAUGAAAGGAGGUUACCGUCGGGUGUUCCAGAAGCCUAUUGAUUUUGAGUGGGAACUCAUGACAUACACAGAUGACAGUGCAUCUUUAGCAGAAACCGAUUUGGAUAUUCUCUCUAAAGGCAAGCUUACAGAAGCAAAGGUAGCUAAUGAGCCUGCUGCAUCUAGUAAAAAUUCCGCCUCCAAUCCACCUGAUUGCAAGAUGGAAGAGCCAUUGGCGACCUCCAUGCCAACCAGUGAAACUAGGUUAGAAGAAAACAAGUCUAUUGGCAGCUCAGAUACAUUGCCAAGCAAACUGGCCGUGAAAUUAGCAUUUACUUUACCUGCAUCAUCCUAUGCUACAAUGGCAAUCAGGGAGUUGCUGAAGGAUUCAACCUCGGUUGCGUACCAGAAAACACUUGAUUGCUAA
Molecule: ribosomal RNA, 2100 nt
Filed under: Triticum aestivum (bread wheat)
Lineage: Eukaryota; Viridiplantae; Streptophyta; Magnoliopsida; Poales; Poaceae
Description: partial small subunit ribosomal RNA
Source: RNAcentral